RNAcentral lists this long non-coding RNA (1194 nucleotides) under Parus major (Great Tit). RNAcentral describes it as "lncRNA (ENSPMJG00000017035.1)". Lineage: Eukaryota; Metazoa; Chordata; Aves; Passeriformes; Paridae. The record is from RNAcentral.
AUGGGGGCCCCUGAAAGGCCCCUCGAGGGCAGCACAUCCCCCCUAGCAUCCCCUCCCGCCUGCACAUCUGGGCACGCAUCCAGCUGUGCACACACAUCUGCUCCCCAUCCCACCCGGAGCCAUCCCCAGCUCUGCCGCGGACGUGCCCCCCACAUCCCACAGGAUAAGGGAAAAACAAGGAAAGAUGCGGGGGGGCUCGGGAAGGGUCCCCCGAGGCCAGGCGUGGCGGCAGCUCCGAGUGGCACACGCCAAGGGCACGUUCCCGUCGGAACGGAACGCGGCGCUCGUAUAAUUUGCAGCAAUUGCGAUGGGAAACCGCAGGAAUUCGCUCUACAAAAGGUUUGCAGGGAGGUGAACAGGAGCUCUAAUUCCCUCCAGGUGCCGGCCGGGAUCGGUAGCUCCAGCUGCGUUUUCCUGGCUCCCGUGCCGGAGCGGUGGCUGUGUCCCUGUGUGUCCUCGGGGUGGGAUGAGGGAUCCCCUCGGGAAUGUCACCCAUGGUCAGAAAAAUGCUUCUGGUGGGGUCUCCAUGUCGGAAUGGGAGCUGGGAGCUUGGGAAAUGUGCAGAGCCAGCCAGGACACAGGAUGGGGACACCAGGGGAGCUGCCCCAGCUCUGCCACCCUCCUGUGCCACAGCCCCAGAGCUCGUCAGUGCCCAUCCCCAGGGAAUGGGGUUUUCUGCAGCUCCUCAGGUACCAUCGGCAGCUCCGAGCAUCCCAAAUUCUGCCUCGAGCGGGAGCCAGGGCAGUUUCCCAUCACAAACCUGCCGAGAGCAAGGAGAAUUCUCUGGAAAACCCCAACCACCCUGAAGGGCCGGGCAGCAGCACGAGGGAGCCCCGACCCUGCUCUGCAGGCAGGGGACAGUGGGGCUGGCAAAGGGCCCCGCUGGCUUUGGGAGCCAGAGCAGCGUUCCCACGGCAGGAUCCACCGGGAAUCCCAGGUGGCUCAGAGCCCUUCCCAGCCCUGCCCCAUGGCCCAGAUUCCUCCCGCUGGAUUUGGAGCCACGGAGAACAACCAGCCCCGGAGGAUGCCGGAGCCACAAUUACUGUAAUUAGAAAUGGGGGCUCAGGGCUGGCUGAUCCCACAGGGAUCCUGCGCUGCUUUAUGGAAGUACAAAUCGCUGGGGAUGUCCAGAGGCCGCUGCUGUGUCCGAUGCUGCUCCGCAGGGAUGUGCACACGUGUGCUGGCACACUCUGA